GACGAACGCUGGCGGCGUGCUUAACACAUGCAAGUCGAACGGAAAGGCCCUGCUUUUGUGGGGUGCUCGAGUGGCGAACGGGUGAGUAACACGUGAGUAACCUGCCCUUGACUUUGGGAUAACUUCAGGAAACUGGGGCUAAUACCGGAUAGGAGCUCCUGCUGCAUGGUGGGGGUUGGAAAGUUUCGGCGGUUGGGUAUGGACUCGCGGCUUAUCAGCUUGUUGGUGGGGUAGUGGCUUACCAAGGCUUUGACGGGUAGCCGGCCUGAGAGGGUGACCGGCCACAUUGGGACUGAGAUACGGCCCAGACUCCUACGGGAGGCAGCAGUGGGGAAUAUUGCACAAUGGGCGGAAGCCUGAUGCAGCAACGCCGCGUGCGGGAUGUCGGCCUUCGGGUUGUAAACCGCUUUCGCCUGUGACGAAGCGUGAGUGACGGUAAUGGGUAAAGAAGCACCGGCUAACUACGUG
RNAcentral lists this ribosomal RNA (468 nucleotides) under uncultured bacterium. RNAcentral's name for it is "partial 16S ribosomal RNA". It matches the Rfam family "Bacterial small subunit ribosomal RNA", at positions 28 to 507 of the family's 1533-position model. The record is from RNAcentral.